UGCAAGUCGAACGGUGAAGCAGAGCUUGCUCUGUGGAUCAGUGGCGAACGGGUGAGUAACACGUGAGCAACCUGCCCCUGACUCUGGGAUAAGCGCUGGAAACGGCGUCUAAUACUGGAUACGAGCAACGGCCGCAUGGCCAGUUGUUGGAAAGAUUUUUUGGUUGGGGAUGGGCUCGCGGCCUAUCAGCUUGUUGGUGAGGUAAUGGCUCACCAAGGCGUCGACGGGUAGCCGGCCUGAGAGGGUGACCGGCCACACUGGGACUGAGACACGGCCCAGACUCCUACGGGAGGCAGCAGUGGGGAAUAUUGCACAAUGGGCGGAAGCCUGAUGCAGCAACGCCGCGUGAGGGAUGACGGCCUUCGGGUUGUAAACCUCUUUUAGCAGGGAAGAAGCGAAAGUGACGGUACCUGCAGAAAAAGCGCCGGCUAACUACGUGCCAGCAGCCGCGGUAAUACGUAGGGCGCAAGCGUUAUCCGGAAUUAUUGGGCGUAAAGAGCUCGUAGGCGGUUUGUCGCGUCUGCUGUGAAAUCUGGGGGCUCAACCCCCAGCCUGCAGUGGGUACGGGCAGACUAGAGUGCGGUAGGGGAGAUUGGAAUUCCUGGUGUAGCGGUGGAAUGCGCAGAUAUCAGGAGGAACACCGAUGGCGAAGGCAGAUCUCUGGGCCGUAACUGACGCUGAGGAGCGAAAGGGUGGGGAGCAAACAAGGCUUAGAUACCCUGGUAGUCCACCCCGUAAACGUUGGGAACUAGUUGUGGGGGUCCAUUUCCACGGAUUCCGUGACCGCAGCUAACGCAUUAAGUUCCCCGCCU
Molecule: ribosomal RNA, 812 nt
Filed under: Microbacterium natoriense
Lineage: Bacteria; Bacillati; Actinomycetota; Actinomycetes; Micrococcales; Microbacteriaceae
Description: bacterial SSU rRNA
Rfam family: Bacterial small subunit ribosomal RNA
Source: RNAcentral